AGUAGUUUCAGAGGAGAAGAUUUUUGUAAAAGAUUACUAAGAUUUACGAAAAAUGGUUAAAAAUUGACUAUAAAGGGCAAUAACUCCUAAAGGGGUCAACUGACCAUUUCAGUCAUGUUGACUUAUUUGUAAAUCUUACUUUGCUGAACAUUAUUGCUGUUUACAGUUUAUCUCUAUCUAUAAUAAUAUUCAAGAUAAUAAC
RNAcentral lists this long non-coding RNA (202 nucleotides) under Mytilus galloprovincialis (Mediterranean mussel). Lineage: Eukaryota; Metazoa; Mollusca; Bivalvia; Mytilida; Mytilidae. The record is from RNAcentral.